GCCACACCUAGCUUCUUCUCUCAAUCAGAAACUCAAGCUUAGGCCUAAGGAAAAUUAAUGGCAGACCCUGUGAGCUCAGAUCAUGUAGCCAUGUUUCCAUGGUUUGCUUAUGGGCAUUUCAUUCCAUACCUUCACCUGGCUAACAAGCUUGCUGAAAGAGGUUACAGAGUCUCCUUCCUGUUGCCCAGAGGAGCAAAGCCUAAGUUAACCCAACUGAACCAGUAUCCCAAUCUUAUUCACUUCUUUCCUUUGAUCGUCCCCCAUGUGGACGGUCUUCCUUCUGGUGCUGAAACAUCUGCCGAUAUACCCUUUUCACUUCAGAAUUAUCUUUGCACAGCCAUGGACCAAA
This 349-nucleotide unclassified non-coding RNA is filed under the name Hevea brasiliensis (rubber tree). Lineage: Eukaryota; Viridiplantae; Streptophyta; Magnoliopsida; Malpighiales; Euphorbiaceae. The record is from RNAcentral.